GAUGAAGAACGUAGCGAAAUGCGAUAAGUAAUGUGAAUUGCAGAAUUCAGUGAAUCAUCGAAUCUUUGAACGCACCUUGCGCUCCUUGGUAUUCCGAGGAGCAUGCCUGUUUGAGUGUCAUUAAUAUAUCAACCUUCUCUUUUUUGAGUUGUUUGGAUGUGGGGGUUUGCUGGCCUCUUAAAUGAUUCAGCUCCCCUGAAAUGCAUUAGCAGAACAACCUGUUCAUUAGCGUGAUAAUUAUCUAUGCUAUUGAAUGUGAGGGCAGUUCAGCUUUCUAACCGUCCUUGGACAGUUCAUCAUUAAUGUGACCUCAAAUCAGGUAGGACUACCCGCUGAACUUAAGCAUAUCAAUAAGCGGAGGA
This 362-nucleotide unclassified non-coding RNA is filed under the name soil metagenome. RNAcentral's name for it is "partial contains 5.8S ribosomal RNA, internal transcribed spacer 2, and large subunit ribosomal RNA". The stretch from base 1 to 120 matches the Rfam family "5.8S ribosomal RNA", at positions 35 to 154 of the family's 154-position model. The record is from RNAcentral.